GCGGCGGAUCUGGAGCGGCGGCUUUGGAGCGGCGCCCGAGCAACGGAGGGAGAUGGAGUUCCCUCCUGGCGUGGCGGCUCGAUCUGCAACGCCAGCAGCUGCGGUACGCCACCCUCGCUGCUGUCGCAGGGAGACGCCGCUCUUCCCCUUCUCGGUCCGCCCUGAUGUGGUUUCCUCUCCGUGACCCGUCAUCGGAGGCACGGCCAGAAGCAUCCCCGCCGCGUGCAGCUGCUGCUCCCGGACGCCGCCGCCGCCCUCCGCAAGGAGCGACGAUAGCCUGAAGCUCUGCGGCCCGGCGUGUGCCGAGCGGCGCGCCGCGGGGGCACCGUCGCCGACUGGCCACACGACAUCGCUCUCGUCCAGCUAGAAGCAUGCGCUGUCGUGGCCCGCCUCCGACUGCUUCAGCAAGCCAAGAAACUGGAACGCGCCCAUGCCCGGCGACCUCGGCAUCUCCAUCGAUGAUGUAUCAUUGGCUUUGGCAACAUUGAUCCUUCUUCACGUAUGCUGGUUGUUGCAUUUGAAUUCAGAUGGCGUCGACCUUGGCCUCCUCGUCGAUCUGACUCUGCAUUAAGAAAACUUGUUGGCAUCAAGUGUCCCCCUUCCUCCACCGGUAGCCUUCCAUCGAAUUCACAUCAGAACACUUCAUUCAUUCACCCAGAAAAAAUAACUGACAUUGCCAACAUCUCACAAGAAAGAAGAGAGCAGAGUUGAAGUUGCCAGCCUGUUUACUUGCAGCUACACCUGUGUUCUUCUUCUUCUUCUUCGCAGAAUCAAUCAGGUUUACUUGCAGCCUUACUCACUUUGUGUCUUAGUUAAUCAAAUUCCUCAAUUGAGGAACACCUGGAAUUGUCAUUCCGGUCUUGGGAUCAACAUUAGCAUAUGGACUUAUCAUCCUGGUUUUUGGAUGAUUUAGUUAAUCAAAUUGACAUCAAUUGACCUGUUUUUUUGGAUCAAUUGCAGAUUCUCUUGAUUGGAGUGGAGAGGAGCAGAGACGAGAGGAGCAGCAGAAGUGGUCAGCGCAGCGGCUGACCUCGAGCUCUUGAUUGGAGUGGGGGGAGGCGGCCGGCGAAGGAUCUGUUGCCAGCAUCGAAGGAUCCGAAGUUGUGGCGGAGCAGGCAGCCG
This is a long non-coding RNA of Triticum dicoccoides, 1122 nucleotides long. RefSeq lists it as uncharacterized. Lineage: Eukaryota; Viridiplantae; Streptophyta; Magnoliopsida; Poales; Poaceae. The transcript is spliced from 3 exons. The record is from RefSeq and is a predicted model, not a curated record.